This 439-nucleotide ribosomal RNA is filed under the name uncultured bacterium. RNAcentral describes it as "partial 16S ribosomal RNA". It matches the Rfam family "Bacterial small subunit ribosomal RNA", at positions 339 to 795 of the family's 1533-position model. The record is from RNAcentral.
CUACGGGUCGCAGCAGUGGAGAAUAUUGCACAAUGGGGGAAGCCCUGAUGCAGCAACGCCGCGUGGAGGAUGACACAUUUCGGUGCGUAAACUCCUUUUAUAGGUCAAGAUAAUGACGGUAGCCUAUGAAUAAGCGCCGGCUAACUCCGUGCCAGCAGCCGCGGUAAUACGGAGGGCGCAAGCGUUACUCGGAAUCACUGGGCGUAAAGAGCAUGUAGGCGGGUUAAUAAGUCAGAAGUGAAAUCCAAUAGCUCAACUAUUGAACUGCUUUUGAAACUGUUAACCUAGAGUGUGGGAGAGGUAGAUGGAAUUUCUGGUGUAGGGGUAAAAUCCGUAGAGAUCAGAAGGAAUACCGAUUGCGAAGGCGAUCUACUGGAACAUUACUGACGCUGAGAUGCGAAAGCGUGGGGAGCAAACAGGAUUAGAUACCCCCGUAGUC